UUUGGUCUUUGUACUCUAUGAUUUGCAUCUUACACAUCUCUUGCUGCUUUUGAUAUUAAUGAUAAAAAGUGGGGGAAGAUGAAAUGGUAGCGCUAAAAAAUAAAGAGGGCCUGGAAGUUGAAACUGUUACUAAAAUUUUGCUUAAAAGUCUAGGUCUCUUACUCUGUCUGAUAGAUGGCAGUGUUUGUGGUUUAUUUUAAAGUAUUCUUUUUUCCCCAGCAUUUAUUGCAGCGCUGUACAUUGAUAAGGAUUUGGAAUAUGUUCAUACUUUCAUGAAUGUCUGCUUCUUUCCACGAUUGAAAGAGUUCAUUUUGAAUCAGGAUUGGAAUGACCCCAAAUCCCAGCUUCAGCAGUGUUGCUUGACACUUAGGACAGAAGGAAAAGAGCCAGACAUUCCUCUGUACAAGUAAGUACUUGCUGCCUGCAGGCCAUUGGUUGGAUCCAGCAUGCCUAGAAUUGACUUUCCAUGUGCCUUGAAGAAUGAGGCAUUGUGGGGUGAUCAUGACAGGAGCCCAGGAUUGAGACUUCUUGGCUGUUAGUGUGACUUUGGGCCCCACAGGGAAACUCAUUGGGGCUGUCAGUCUUAGCUGUAAUAAGUGGGUCCCACUCCAUUAUCUCUGUUCUCUCCCAUUUCUAAAAAUCUCUGUGAACUACUGCCUGGGAGGGAGACAAACUAAGAUUAUGAGAUCAAAAAGAAAAUUUGGAUUCAGUGGUUUUUAUGUAC
RNAcentral lists this small RNA (724 nucleotides) under Pongo abelii (Sumatran orangutan). Its description in RNAcentral is "retained intron". Lineage: Eukaryota; Metazoa; Chordata; Mammalia; Primates; Hominidae. The record is from RNAcentral.